GAUGAACGCUGGCGGCGUGCCUAAUACAUGCAAUUCGAGCGAACAGAUGAGGAGCUUGCUCCUCUGACGUUAGCGGCGGACGGGUGAGUAACACGUGGAUAACCUACCUAUAAGACUGGGAUAACUUCGGGAAACCGGAGCUAAUACCGGAUAAUAUAUUGAACCGCAUGGUUCAAUAGUGAAAGACGGUUUUGCUGUCACUUAUAGAUGGAUCCGCGCCGCAUUAGCUAGUUGGUAAGGUAACGGCUUACCAAGGCAACGAUGCGUAGCCGACCUGAGAGGGUGAUCGGCCACACUGGAACUGAGACACGGUCCAGACUCCUACGGGAGGCAGCAGUAGGGAAUCUUCCGCAAUGGGCGAAAGCCUGACGGAGCAACGCCGCGUGAGUGAUGAAGGUCUUCGGAUCGUAAAACUCUGUUAUUAGGGAAGAACAAAUGUGUAAGUAACUAUGCACGUCUUGACGGUACCUAAUCAGAAAGCCACGGCUAACUACGUG
RNAcentral lists this ribosomal RNA (497 nucleotides) under uncultured bacterium. Its description in RNAcentral is "partial 16S ribosomal RNA". It matches the Rfam family "Bacterial small subunit ribosomal RNA", at positions 28 to 507 of the family's 1533-position model. The record is from RNAcentral.